Long non-coding RNA from Nanorana parkeri, 354 nucleotides. RefSeq lists it as uncharacterized. NCBI's taxonomy places the organism in Eukaryota, Metazoa, Chordata, Amphibia, Anura, Dicroglossidae. The transcript is spliced from 3 exons. The record is from RefSeq and is a predicted model, not a curated record.
UCUGGUUGGUGGUUUGGGGUCACAUGGGGUGGAUCUGGGAUCUGGUUGGUGGUUUGGGGUCACAUGGGGUAGAUCUGGGAUCUGGUUGGGGUCACAUGGGGUAGAUCUGGGAUCUGGUUGGUGGUUUGGGGUCAUAUGGGGUAGAUCUGGGAUCUGGUUGGUAUAUUGGGUUUGGGGUCACACGGGGUAGAUCUGGGAUCUGGUUGGUAGUUUGUGGUCACACGGGGUGGAUCUGUGGUUGGUGGUUUGGGGUCACAUGGGGUGGAUCUGGGAUCUGGUUGGUGGUUUGUGGUCACAUGGGGUGGAUCUGGUUGGUGGUUUGGGGUCACAUGGGGUAGAUCUGGGAUCUGGUUG